RNAcentral lists this ribosomal RNA (497 nucleotides) under uncultured bacterium. RNAcentral's name for it is "partial 16S ribosomal RNA". It matches the Rfam family "Bacterial small subunit ribosomal RNA", at positions 28 to 507 of the family's 1533-position model. The record is from RNAcentral.
GAUGAACGCUGGCGGCGUGCCUAAUACAUGCAAGUCGAACGCUGAAGGAAGGAGCUUGCUCUUUCCGGAUGAGUUGCGAACGGGUGAGUAACGCGUAGGUAACCUGCCUGGUAGCGGGGGAUAACUAUUGGAAACGAUAGCUAAUACCGCAUAACAGUAGAUGUUGCAUGAUAUCUACUUAAAAGGUGCAAUUGCACCACUACCAGAUGGACCUGCGUUGUAUUAGCUAGUUGGUGAGGUAACGGCUCACCAAGGCGACGAUACAUAGCCGACCUGAGAGGGUGAUCGGCCACACUGGGACUGAGACACGGCCCAGACUCCUACGGGAGGCAGCAGUAGGGAAUCUUCGGCAAUGGACGGAAGUCUGACCGAGCAACGCCGCGGGAGUGAAGAAGGUUGUCGGAUCGUAAAGCUCUGUUGUAAGAGAAGAACGAGUGUGAGAGUGGAAAGUUCACACUGUGACGGUAGCUUACCAGAAAGGGACGGCUAACUACGUG